RNAcentral lists this ribosomal RNA (301 nucleotides) under uncultured bacterium. RNAcentral describes it as "partial 16S ribosomal RNA". It matches the Rfam family "Bacterial small subunit ribosomal RNA", at positions 509 to 808 of the family's 1533-position model. The record is from RNAcentral.
CAGCAGCCGCGGUAAUACGUAGGUGGCAAGCGUUGUCCGGAAUUAUUGGGCGUAAAGCGCGCGCAGGCGGAUAGGUCAGUCUGUCUUAAAAGUUCGGGGCUUAACCCCGUGAUGGGAUGGAAACUGCCAAUCUAGAGUAUCGGAGAGGAAAGUGGAAUUCCUAGUGUAGCGGUGAAAUGCGUAGAUAUUAGGAAGAACACCAGUGGCGAGGGCGACUUUCUGGACGAAAACUGACGCUGAGGCGCGAAAGCCAGGGGAGCGAACGGGAUUAGAUACCCCUGUAGUCCCUGUCUCUUAUACC